GAUGAACGCUGGCGGCGUGCCUAAUACAUGCAAGUCGAGCGAACAGACGAGAAGCUUUCUCCUCUGCCGUUAGCGGCUGACGGGUGAGUAACACGUGCAUCACCUUCCUAUAUUUCUUGGAUAACUUCGGGAAACCGCAUCUACUACCGGCUCAUAUAUUCUACCGCUUGGUUCAAUAGUUCAUCACGGCUUUGCUGUCACUUAUAGAUGAAUCCGCGCCGCAUUAGCUAGUUGGUAAGGUACCGGCUUACCAAGGCAACGAUGCGUAGCCGAUCUGAGAGGAUGAUCGGCCACACUGGAACUGAGACACGGUCCAGACUCCUACGGGAGGCAGCAGUAGGGAAUAUUCGACAAUGGGCGAAAGCUUGACGGAGCAACACCGCGUGAGUGAAGAAGGUCUUCGGGUCGUAAAGCUCUGUUGUUAGGGAAGAACAGAUGUGGAAGAAAACAUGGACGUCUUGACGGUACCUAAACAGAAAGCAACGGCUAACUACGUG
Molecule: ribosomal RNA, 497 nt
Filed under: uncultured bacterium
Lineage: Bacteria
Description: partial 16S ribosomal RNA
Rfam family: Bacterial small subunit ribosomal RNA
Source: RNAcentral